GACGAACGCUGGCGGCGUGCUUAACACAUGCAAGUCGAACGGAAAGGCCCUGCUUUUGUGGGGUGCUCGAGUGGCGAACGGGUGAGUAACACGUGAGUAACCUGCCCUUGACUUUGGGAUAACUUCAGGAAACUGGGGCUAAUACCGGAUAGGAGCUCCUGCUGCAUGGUGGGGGUUGGAAAGUUUCGGCGGUUGGGGAUGGACUCGCGGCUUAUCAGCUUGUUGGUGGGGUAGUGGCUUACCAAGGCUUUGACGGGUAGCCGGCCUGAGAGGGUGACCGGCCACAUGGGGAAGGAGAUACGGCCCAGACUCAUAAGUGAGGAAGCAGUGGGGAUGAUUGCACAAGGGGCGGAGGCCUGAUGCAGCAACGCCGCGUGCGGGAGGAAGGCCUGCGGGUUGAAAACCGCGUACGCCGGUGACGAAGAGUGAGUGACGGUAAUGGGUAAAGAAGCAACGGCUAACUACGUG
Molecule: ribosomal RNA, 468 nt
Filed under: uncultured bacterium
Lineage: Bacteria
Description: partial 16S ribosomal RNA
Rfam family: Bacterial small subunit ribosomal RNA
Source: RNAcentral